AAUGCACCAAUUUGUAAUUCGCUCUGGAUAAGAGCGUCUGCUAAAUGACGUAAU
Molecule: non-coding RNA, 54 nt
Organism: Salmo salar (Atlantic salmon)
Lineage: Eukaryota; Metazoa; Chordata; Actinopteri; Salmoniformes; Salmonidae
Source: Rfam